Molecule: non-coding RNA, 358 nt
Organism: Paramuricea clavata
Lineage: Eukaryota; Metazoa; Cnidaria; Anthozoa; Malacalcyonacea; Plexauridae
Source: the annotation of a GenBank genome assembly
GGAAUAGUCAUGGAUAGUUUAUUGGAAUACUAUAUUAUAGCCUGAUAAAUUAUAGGUUAAAAUCGGCAAAAAAUUGUCCAUUCCGAUCAGGUGUGAUGAAUCCUUCAUUGCGUGCAAAAAUGGAAGCUUAAAACGCAAUCAGUUAAUAAUAUUUAUCCCAUACCUAAUUUUAAGAAUUUUUUAUCACUGCACAUUUUAUGCCAAAAAUUUCCGAAUGACUAAGAAAAUUUCCGAAUAUUCGGCGACCCCCUCCCCCCCGUCGCCAAAAAAAUUUUGGUCAGUGUACCAUUUUAAGGGUCAAAAACUUUUUCCGGACAUACCAAAAGCAAGAUAUUAACUAAAAAUUGCCUGAAUCUCA